Molecule: unclassified non-coding RNA, 148 nt
Organism: Macaca fascicularis (crab-eating macaque)
Lineage: Eukaryota; Metazoa; Chordata; Mammalia; Primates; Cercopithecidae
Rfam family: Metazoan signal recognition particle RNA
About the family: The signal recognition particle (SRP) is a universally conserved ribonucleoprotein. It is involved in the co-translational targeting of proteins to membranes.
Source: Ensembl
GCCGGGCAUGGUGGUGCAUGCCUGUAGUCCCAGCUACUCGGGAGGCUGAGGCAGGAGAAUUGCUUGACCCUAGGAGGCGGAUGUUGCAGUGAGCCAAGAUCACGCCACUGCACUCCCGCCUGGGUGACAGAGCAAGACUCUGUCUCAA